RNAcentral lists this non-coding RNA (212 nucleotides) under Enterococcus faecium. Lineage: Bacteria; Bacillati; Bacillota; Bacilli; Lactobacillales; Enterococcaceae. The record is from RNAcentral.
AAUAACUUUACUAUCGAGAAAUCAAAUGACGGGGUAACGCCCUGAAGGGUUUCCACUGAUACUGCGACAUGCGUUAGUAGGAUGUGCAUCCAAACGCGUAUGAAGCUCGCUGAAGUCGGCAGAAGGGUACCGUAAGGAAAGACACGAUACGUAUCUACCACGCAAGUGCUCUAGAGGUAGGGUAUGUACCUGAUAUGUCGGGUGUCCUAAAA